RNAcentral lists this unclassified non-coding RNA (499 nucleotides) under uncultured Glomus. RNAcentral's name for it is "SSU rRNA". It matches the Rfam family "Eukaryotic small subunit ribosomal RNA", at positions 591 to 1092 of the family's 1831-position model. Lineage: Eukaryota; Fungi; Glomeromycota; Glomeromycetes; Glomerales; Glomeraceae. The record is from RNAcentral.
CCAAUAGCGUAUAUUAAAGUUGUUGCAGUUAAAAAGCUCGUAGUUGAAUUUCGGGGUUAGUAGGUUGGUCAUGCCUCUGGUAUGUACUGGUCUCACUGAUUCCUCCUUCCUGAUGAACCUUAAUGCCAUUUAUUUGGUGUUUUGGGAAUUUGGACUGUUACUUUGAAAAAAUUAGAGUGUUUAAAUCAAGCUAACGCUUGAAUACAUUAGCAUGGAAUAAUGAAAUAGGACGUUCGAUCCUAUUUUGUUGGUUUCUAGGAUUGACGUAAUGAUUAAUAGGGAUAGUUGGGGGCAUUAGUAUUCAAUUGUCAGAGGUGAAAUUCUUGGAUUUAUUGAAGACUAACUACUGCGAAAGCAUUUGCCAAGGAUGUUUUCAUUAAUCAAGAACGAAAGUUAGGGGAUCGAAGACGAUCAGAUACCGUCGUAGUCUUAACCAUAAACUAUGCCGACUAGGGAUCGGAUGAUGUUAAUUUUUUAAUGACUCAUUCGGCGCCUUACG